This 253-nucleotide ribosomal RNA is filed under the name uncultured bacterium. Its description in RNAcentral is "partial 16S ribosomal RNA". It matches the Rfam family "Bacterial small subunit ribosomal RNA", at positions 524 to 776 of the family's 1533-position model. The record is from RNAcentral.
UACGUAGGGGGCUAGCGUUGUCCGGAAUCAUUGGGCGUAAAGCGCGUGUAGGCGGUCCGGUAAGUCCGCUGUGAAAGUCGGGGGCUCAACCCUCGAAUGCCGGUGGAUACUGUCGGGCUAGAGUGCGGAAGAGGCGAGUGGAAUUCCUGGUGUAGCGGUGGAAUGCGCAGAUAUCAGGCGGAACACCGAUGGCGAAGGCAGUUCUCUGGGCCGUAACUGACGCUGAGGAGCGAAAGCGUGGGGAGCGAACAGG